RNAcentral lists this ribosomal RNA (492 nucleotides) under uncultured bacterium. RNAcentral's name for it is "partial 16S ribosomal RNA". It matches the Rfam family "Bacterial small subunit ribosomal RNA", at positions 29 to 507 of the family's 1533-position model. The record is from RNAcentral.
AGUGAACGCUGGCGGUAGGCCUAACACAUGCAAGUCGAACGGCAGCACAGUAAGAGCUUGCUCUUACGGGUGGCGAGUGGCGGACGGGUGAGGAAUACAUCGGAAUCUACUUUUUCGUGGGGGAUAACGUAGGGAAACUUACGCUAAUACCGCAUACGACCUACGGGUGAAAGCAGGGGAUCUUCGGACCUUGCGCGAUUGAAUGAGCCGAUGUCGGAUUAGCUAGUUGGCGGGGUAAAGGCCCACCAAGGCGACGAUCCGUAGCUGGUCUGAGAGGAUGAUCAGCCACACUGGAACUGAGACACGGUCCAGACCCCUACGGGAGGCAGCAGUGGGGAAUAUUGGACAAUGGGCGCAAGCCUGAUCCAGCCAUACCGCGUGGGUGAAGAAGGUCUUCGGGUUGUAAAGCCCUUUUGUUGGGAAAGAAAAGCAGCAGGUUAAUACCCCGCUGUUCUGACGGUACCCAAAGAAUAAGCACCGGCUAACUUCGUG